GCCCUAACACAUGCAAGUCGAGCGGCAGCACGGGUAGCUUGCUCCUGGUGGCGAGCGGCGGACGGGUGAGUAACGCGUGGGAAUCUACCCUCUUGUGGGGGAUAACUUGGGGAAACCCAAGCUAAUACCGCAUAAGUCCUAAGGGAGAAAGCGGGGGAUCUUCGGACCUCGCGCAAGAGGAUGAGCCCGCGUCAGAUUAGCUAGUUGGUAGGGUAAAGGCCUACCAAGGCGACGAUCUGUAACUGGUCUGAGAGGAUGAUCAGUCACACCGGAACUGAGACACGGUCCGGACUCCUACGGGAGGCAGCAGUGGGGAAUCUUGGACAAUGGGGGAAACCCUGAUCCAGCCAUGCCGCGUGUGUGAAGAAGGCCCUAGGGUUGUAAAGCACUUUCAGCAGGGAGGAAGGCUUUAGCUUAAUACGCUGAAGUACUUGACGUUACCUGCAGAAGAAGCACCGGCUAAUUUCGUGCCAGCAGCCGCGGUAAUACGAAAGGUGCGAGCGUUAAUCGGAAUUACUGGGCGUAAAGCGCGCGUAGGCGGCUACUUAAGUCGGAUGUGAAAUCCCCGGGCUCAACCUGGGAACUGCAUCCGAUACUGGGUAGCUAGAGUGCAGUAGAGGGAGGUGGAAUUUCAGGUGUAGCGGUGAAAUGCGUAGAGAUCUGAAGGAACACCAGUGGCGAAGGCGGCCUCCUGGACUGACACUGACGCUGAGGUGCGAAAGCGUGGGGAUCAAACAGGAUUAGAUACCCUGGUAGUCCACGCCGUAAACGAUGUCUACUAGCCGUUGGGAAUCUUAGUAUUCU
Molecule: ribosomal RNA, 804 nt
Filed under: Alcanivorax sp. MH103
Lineage: Bacteria; Pseudomonadati; Pseudomonadota; Gammaproteobacteria; Oceanospirillales; Alcanivoracaceae
Description: bacterial SSU rRNA
Rfam family: Bacterial small subunit ribosomal RNA
Source: RNAcentral